Molecule: ribosomal RNA, 403 nt
Filed under: Fusobacteriota bacterium
Lineage: Bacteria; Fusobacteriati; Fusobacteriota
Description: Fusobacteria bacterium partial 16S ribosomal RNA
Rfam family: Bacterial small subunit ribosomal RNA
Source: RNAcentral
UGGGGAAUAUUGCACAAUGGGGGGAACUCUGAUGCAGCGAUGCCGCGUGAACGAAGAAGGCUUUCGAGUCGUAAAGCUCUUUUAUAUGGGAAGAUAAUGACGGUACCAUAAGAAAAAGCCCCGGCAAACUACGUGCCAGCAGCCGCGGUAAUACGAAGGGGGCUAGCGUUGUCCGGAAUCACUGGGCGUAAAGGGUUCGCAGGCGGAUAUGCAAGUCAGGAGUAAAAGGCAGUAGCUUAACUACUGUAAGCAUUUGAAACUGCAUAUCUUGAGAAGAGUAGAGGUAAGUGGAAUUUUUAGUGUAGCGGUGAAAUGCGUAGAUAUUAGGAAGAAUACCGGUGGCGAAGGCGACUUACUGGGCUAAUACUGACGCUGAGGAACGAAAGCGUGGGUAGCAAACAGG